RNAcentral lists this ribosomal RNA (441 nucleotides) under uncultured bacterium. Its description in RNAcentral is "bacterial SSU rRNA". It matches the Rfam family "Bacterial small subunit ribosomal RNA", at positions 93 to 518 of the family's 1533-position model. The record is from RNAcentral.
GAGCGGCGGACGGGUGAGUAACACGUGGACAAUCUGCCCCCCGGACCGGGACUAGCCCAGGGAAACCUGGAUUAAUACCGGAUGAGACGGGACCUGCGAUGGCGGGAUCCGGGAAAGGCGCUACGGCGCCGCCGGGGGAUGAGUCUGCGUCCCAUUAGCUAGACGGCGGGGUAACGGCCCACCGUGGCGACGAUGGGUAGCCGGCCUGAGAGGGUGGACGGCCACAUUGGAACUGAGACACGGUCCAGACUCCUACGGGAGGCAGCAGCUAAGAAUCUUCCGCAAUGGGCGAAAGCCUGACGGAGCGAACCGCCGCGUGAACGAAGAAGGCCGUGAGGUUGUAAAGUUCUUUUCGGGAGGGGGAACAACCGUGGCAGGGAAUGGCCGCGGGAUGACGUGAAUCCCGGAAUAAGCCCCGGCUAACUACGUGCCAGCCGCUGC